UACGGGGGGGGCAAGCGUUGUUCGGAAUUACUGGGCGUAAAGGGUUUGUAGGUGGCUUGCUAAGUCAGACGUGAAAUCCCUCAGCUUAACUGGGGAACUGCGUCUGAUACUGGAUGGCUUGGAUCCGGGAGAGGGAUGCGGAAUUCCAGGUGUAGCGGUGAAAUGCGUAGAUAUCUGGAGGAACACCGGUGGCGAAGGCGGCAUCCUGGACCGGUAUUGACGCUGAGGAGCGAAAGCCAGGGGAGCAAACGGG
RNAcentral lists this ribosomal RNA (253 nucleotides) under uncultured bacterium. Its description in RNAcentral is "partial 16S ribosomal RNA". It matches the Rfam family "Bacterial small subunit ribosomal RNA", at positions 524 to 776 of the family's 1533-position model. The record is from RNAcentral.